Molecule: ribosomal RNA, 788 nt
Filed under: Saxomyces sp.
Lineage: Eukaryota; Fungi; Ascomycota; Dothideomycetes
Description: SSU rRNA
Rfam family: Eukaryotic small subunit ribosomal RNA
Source: RNAcentral
GUCUCAAAGAUUAAGCCAUGCAUGUCUAAGUAUAAGCAAUCUAUACGGUGAAACUGCGAAUGGCUCAUUAAAUCAGUUAUCGUUUAUUUGAUAGUACCUUACUACAUGGAUAACCGUGGUAAUUCUAGAGCUAAUACAUGCUAAAAACCCCGACUUCGGAAGGGGUGUAUUUAUUAGAUAAAAAACCAGCGCCCUUCGGGGCUCCUUGGUGAUUCAUGAUAACUCAACGAAUCGCAUGGCCUUGCGCCGGCGAUGGUUCAUUCAAAUUUCUGCCCUAUCAACUUUCGAUGGUAGGAUAGUGGCCUACCAUGGUAUCAACGGGUAACGGGGAAUUAGGGUUCUAUUCCGGAGAGGGAGCCUGAGAAACGGCUACCACAUCCAAGGAAGGCAGCAGGCGCGCAAAUUACCCAAUCCCGACACGGGGAGGUAGUGACAAUAAAUACUGAUACAGGGCUCUUUCGGGUCUUGUAAUUGGAAUGAGUACAAUUUAAAUCCCUUAACGAGGAACAAUUGGAGGGCAAGUCUGGUGCCAGCAGCCGCGGUAAUUCCAGCUCCAAUAGCGUAUAUUAAAGUUGUUGCAGUUAAAAAGCUCGUAGUUGAACCUUGGGCCUGGCUGGCCGGUCCGCCUCACCGCGUGUACUGGUCCGGCCGGGCCUUUCCUUCUGGGGAGCCGCAUGCCCUUCACUGGGCGUGCCGGGGAACCAGGACUUUUACUUUGAAAAAAUUAGAGUGUUCAAAGCAGGCCUUUGCUCGAAUACAUUAGCAUGGAAUAAUAGAAUAGGACGUGU